This 1929-nucleotide ribosomal RNA is filed under the name wastewater metagenome. Its description in RNAcentral is "bacterial LSU rRNA". It matches the Rfam family "Bacterial large subunit ribosomal RNA", at positions 1087 to 2925 of the family's 2925-position model. The record is from RNAcentral.
AGACAGCCAGGAUCUUGGCUUAGAAGCAGCCAUGAUUUAAAGAGUGCGUAACAGCUCACUGGUCGAGUGGUAGGGCACCGAAGAUAAUCGGGACUGAAGUAUCUUGCCGAAGCUGCGGACUUGCAUAUAUAUGUGAGUGGUAGGAGAGCAUUGUGAUUGCGCAGAAGGUGUAUUGUGAGAUAUGCUGGAGCGGUCACAAGAGACCAUGUUGGCAUGAGUAACGAUAAUGCGGGUGAGAAACCCGCACACCAUAAGCCCAAGGAUUCCUGAGUAAAGUUAAUCUUCUCAGGGUUAGUCGGUCCCUAAGGUAUAGCGAUAAGGCGAAGCUGAUGGGAAUCAGGUUAAUAAUCCUGAACCUGAGUAUUGAGUGAAGGAGUGACGCGACGGUGCUGCAAGGACAGCUGUUGGAAUAGCUGUUGAAUGCAGGUAGGAAGUGAGACAGGUAAAUCCGUUUCACAGAUAUUCCGAGAUGCAGGACGAGGCGUAAGCCGUAAAGCUUGUUUAGAGACGUUGCCGAGAAAUAGCUUCUAGCGUUAAUCAAUAUUCAGACCGUACCGCAAACCGACACAGGUGGGCGAGGAGAGUAUCCUAAGGUGUUCGAGUGAACUCUGGUUAAGGAACUAGGCAAAAUUACCCCGUAACUUCGGGAGAAGGGGUGCCCCGUUAUCGUGAUUAGUCAGCGCUAUGAGCGAGAGGGGGCCGCAGUGAAUAGGCCCAAGCGACUGUUUAUCAAAAACACAGGUCUAUGCGAAGGCGAAAGCCACGGUAUAUAGACUGACACCUGCCCGGUGCCGGAAGGUUAAGUGGAGAGGUUAGCCUGCACUAAUUUUAUCAUAGUGAAGGGUGAAAAGUGACCAGUGAAUUGUGAAGAAUGUAAAAUUGACAAUGUAUAAUGAAUGCGAGAGAUGGUGAAAUUAGUGCAGGCGAAGCUUCGAAAUGAAGCCCCGGUAAACGGCGGCCGUAACUAUAACGGUCCUAAGGUAGCGAAAUUCCUUGUCGGGUAAGUUCCGACCUGCACGAAUGGUGUAACGAUUUGGGCGCUGUCUCAACCAGGGGCUCGGUGAAAUUGAAGUAGCGGUGAAGAUGCCGCUUACCCGCGAACGGACGGAAAGACCCCGUGAACCUUUACUGUAGCUUGGCAUUGUAAAUUGGUGCAGUAUGUGUAGGAUAGGUGGGAGGCUAUGAGGCGUGCACGCCAGUGUGCGCGGAGCCAGCGUUGAAAUACCACCCUUAUUGUAUUGAUUUACUAACGAUAGAGCAACUAUUGGACAUUGCCAGGUGGGCAGUUUGACUGGGGCGGUCGCCUCCGAAAGAGUAACGGAGGCUUACCAAGGUUCCCUCCGGCUGGUUGGUAAUCAGCCAUAGAGCGCAAAGGUAUAAGGGAGCUUAACUGCGAGACCGACGGGUCGAGCAGGUGGGAAACCAGGUCUUAGUGAUCCGGCGGUUCUGAAUGGAAGGGCCGUUGCUCAAAGGAUAAAAGGUACUCCGGGGAUAACAGGCUGAUACCGCCCAAGAGUUCAUAUCGACGGCGGUGUUUGGCACCUCGAUGUCGGCUCAACUCAUCCUGGGGCUGAAGAAGGUCCCAAGGGUUCGGCUGUUCGCCGAUUAAAGAGUUACGCGAGCUGGGUUCAGAACGUCGUGAGACAGUUCGGUCCCUAUCCUUCGUGGGCGUAGGAAAUUUGAGGAGCACUGCAUUUAGUACGAGAGGACCGGUGUGGACGAACCUCUGGUGUACCGGUUGUGAUGCCAAUUGCAUUGCCGGGUAGCCAAGUUCGGUUAGGAUAACCGCUGAAAGCAUCUAAGCGGGAAGCCAGCUCCGAGAUAAGAUUUCCCCAUAGAGAGGUUGGAGACGACAACCUUGAUAGGUUACAGGUGUAAGCGCAGUAAUGCGUUGAGCCGAGUAAUACUAAUAACUCAAUUGGCUUUCAC